GUUAUGGAAUAUAAGCAGAGCAAAUCUUGUACAUAUACGGUAUUAGUCCAUAUACGUUUAUUUGAUUAACAUAGCAUAACACCCCGUACAAAUUAAGAUCAGGAUUUCACUUUUCACUACUACAAAACAUACAUGAUAUAGCAAACCAGCAUUUUAUUUUAGUAGAACGAUAGCAUUUGUGCAUGCUUAGCAACGUCCGCCAUGGCCGCCAUGCGAGCCACCACCAUGGUGACCAGGACCGCCUGCUGGAGGACCAUGGUGACCCGGACCACCUGCUGGAGGUCCAUGCUGACCCGGACCACCUGCUGGAGGUCCAUGGCCCCCCUCCGGGCCACAACCAUGACCAGGACCGCCUGCUGGAGGUCCAUGUUGGCCCGGACCACCUGGAGGAGGUCCAUGCUGACCGGGACCACCUGCUGGAGGUCCAUGGUGUCCACCGUGGUCGCCGCCCGGGCCACCUACUGGAUGUCCAUCAUGGCCUGGUGGAGGUCCUUGGGGACAGGGAGGAGGCGGAGCCUGAUGCUGAUGAAUCCCUGGUGGUGGAGGUCCGUGAGGAUGAUCGUGCAUCUUAUCUGCUGUUGUAGUUGGUAUCGUUCUCUGCUUUGCUUCUUGCUGGUGCGGUGAAACGGUUUGAGAGGACUAUUGGAUUUAUAGUAGUGCGGUCCUUGUUUUCAUUAUUUUUUGGCCAGAAUGGUCCCAGACUUGCAGAUAAGGUUAUUACCAUGAGAACUUUGGUCGGAGGUUGUUUAAUGCAUACCUUACACGUUGUUGACGUGACCAUUUGUUGGGAUAUUUCCAUUGGUAUGUGGUUGUUAUUCUCCAUUGACAUGAUGAGGCCAACAACCUUAUCUUUC
This 854-nucleotide long non-coding RNA is filed under the name Theobroma cacao (cacao). Its description in RNAcentral is "long non-coding RNA (TCAC_LNC005168)". The record is from RNAcentral. Lineage: Eukaryota; Viridiplantae; Streptophyta; Magnoliopsida; Malvales; Malvaceae.